Long non-coding RNA from Gossypium arboreum, 1596 nucleotides. RefSeq lists it as uncharacterized. The transcript has 3 exons. The record is from RefSeq and is a predicted model, not a curated record. NCBI's taxonomy places the organism in Eukaryota, Viridiplantae, Streptophyta, Magnoliopsida, Malvales, Malvaceae.
UUUUCUUCCUCCUUUCCUUUUGACAUGUGAAUCCACUAAUGGGUUUUUAGAGUUCUUUAUUAAUUCAAUUUUCCUUCUAUUCCUAAAACCCUAAAAGUUUUUUUCCCUUCUUCAAGUCGUUUGCUUCCUUUUUCUUGUUUUACUCCGCGGCGGAGUCAGCCUUCGGGCUGGCUCCCGUCUGCCUUUUUCUCCCUAUCACAGAUUCUCUCUUUCUUUUUGUGAGCUCUCCUUCACCUCAAUUAUCUUUUUUUUUUCAGUUUGUAGAUCUAUUUUAUGAGCUCUCUUUCACUCCAAUUGUCUUUUCUCUUUUCAGUCUACAGAUCUAUUUUGUGAGCUCUCUUUUACCCCAAUUGUUUUUUUCUUUUGAGUUUGCAGAUCUAUUUUAUGAGAUCUAUUUUGUGAGCUCCCUUUUACCUCAAUUGCCUUUUCUUUUUUCAGUUUGCAGAUUUAAUUUGUAAGCUACUUAUUCAACCCAUGGGCCUUCUGUGAGCUCCUUAUUCACCCCAUAUGUUUUAUCUCUUUUUGGUUUGUAGAUCUAUUUUGUGAGUGGACAUUUUCGUUUUCAAUCCAAGUUGUAAUGGAUAAAUUAUGGUGUCGUUGUUGAGCCUUCAUUGACUACAGGAACAUUUGUUUCUACCCGAAGGGAAACCCGAAAAAUGAUAGGAAGGAUCAGUCGUUGAUACGAUAUCUUUACCCUUUGGUUGGGAAGUUAAUGCACAGUUCUCAUUCUUGGUGUUGGAUCAGCUCCGUGAUAAAUAUUUGACUCAUUCACAAUUGCAUGCAUAUAUGAUGAAUGAACAUUUUUACAUAAAUCGUAUUUGCAAACCCAAUGCAGAUGGAACUAUAAGGCGUUAUCAUGAGUCGAAGGCCGAAUGGGGUGUGUCUCGGUUGCUCUCCCUCGACGUUUUCAACGAUAUUUUUAUGGGAUAUCUCGUUGAUGACUGUUGCAUAUCUGGGUCAGAAGUUUUCGUCAUCAAAUAUAACAACAGGAACGAUCACAUCUCGCUUUAUUUAAAAGUCGCUGAUACGACAUCUUUACCGUUUGGUUGGGAAGUUAAUGCACAGUUCUCAUUCUUGGAGCUGGAUCAGCUCCGUGACAAAUACUUGACCAUGUAAGAUGGAACUAUACACCAUUUUUAUCGGUCAAAGACCGAAUGGAGGGUGCCCCAGUAGCUCUCUUUAGACGUUUUCAACGAUGUUUCUAUGGGAUAUCUCAUUGAUGACUGUUGCAUAUUCGGGUCAGAACUUUUCGUCAUCAAACAUAGUGGUAGAAUGGAAUGCCUGUCCAUGGUGAAGAAGCCAUUGAACAAUAUUUACAUUUGGAAAAUCAAAAAGUUUUCGGUGUUGGAUUAGUGUAUCUACUCGCAAGGCUUCACCAUACAAGGGAUUGUUUGGUAAAUUAGUUAUAAAUCAUAAUCCAGAAUGAAUAAUCUUUGCUAAAAUUAAGUAUUUUUAAUCCAAGAAGUUAUUAGUUGUUUAUCCGAAGAGAUAUUCAGACUCAGAAGGGAAAGCACUUGCUGUCUACCAGUGUUGUUGUGAAAAUGGAUGUUUUGCAUCUAAUCUGAAAGUAUAUGAAGAGUUCAAAUUAAGGGUAAA